UACGGGGGGGGCAAGCGUUGUUCGGAAUUACUGGGCGUAAAGGGCUCGUAGGCGGCCAACUAAGUCAGACGUGAAAUCCCUCGGCUUAACCGGGGAACUGCGUCUGAUACUGGAUGGCUAGAGGUCCGGAGGGGAGAGUGGAAUUCCCGGUGGAGCGGUGAAAUGCGUAGAGAUCGGGAAGAACGCCGGCGGCGAAAGCGACUCUCUGGGCCCUACCUGACGCUGAGACGCGAAAGCGUGGGGAGCGAACCGG
RNAcentral lists this ribosomal RNA (253 nucleotides) under uncultured bacterium. RNAcentral describes it as "partial 16S ribosomal RNA". It matches the Rfam family "Bacterial small subunit ribosomal RNA", at positions 524 to 776 of the family's 1533-position model. The record is from RNAcentral.